UGCAGUCGAACGAUAACGAUCCUUCGGGGUCGUGAAAGUGGAGAACUGGUGAGUAACACGUAGGUGAUCUGCCCCGGGAUUGGGAAUAGCUCAUGGAAACAUGGGGUAAUACCGAAUACGUUCCGAUUUUCAUGGAAAUCGGAGGAAAGGCGCGUUUGCGUCGUCCUGGGAUGAGCCUGCGGCGUAUUAGCUUGUUGGUGAGGUAACUGCUCACCAAGGCGAUGAUACGUAGCCGGCCUGAGAGGGUGAUCGGCCACACUGGGACUGAGAUACGGCCCAGACUCCUACGGGAGGCAGCAGCUAAGAAUCUUCCGCAAUGGGCGAAAGCCUGACGGAGCGACGCCGCGUGGGUGAAGAAGGCCUGAUGGUUGUAAAACCCUUUUUGUGCUGAGGAAUAAAGUAGGGAGGAAAUGCCCUGCUGAUGACGUUAAGCGCAGAAUAAGCCCCGGCUAAUUACGUGCCAGCAGCCGCGGUAACACGUAUGGGGCGAGCGUUGUUCGGAUUUAUUGGGCGUAAAGGGCGCGUAGGUGGCUAUGCAAGCUUGGUGUGAAAGACUACAGCUCAACUGUGGAAUUGCGCUGAGAACUGCAUGACUAGAGUUCCGGAGGGGAAGCUGGAAUUCCGGGUGUAGGGGUGAAAUCUGUAGAUAUCCGGAAGAACACCAGAGGCGAAGGCGAGCUUCUGGCCGAGAACUGACACUGAGGCGCGAAAGCGUGGGGAGCGAACAGGAUUAGAUACCCUGGUAGUCCACGCCGUAAACGAUGUGCACUAGGUGUUGGGUCAUCACGACUCAGUACCAAAGCUAACGC
Molecule: ribosomal RNA, 809 nt
Filed under: uncultured bacterium
Lineage: Bacteria
Description: bacterial SSU rRNA
Rfam family: Bacterial small subunit ribosomal RNA
Source: RNAcentral